This 499-nucleotide ribosomal RNA is filed under the name Goniozus legneri. Its description in RNAcentral is "partial 16S ribosomal RNA". The stretch from base 357 to 499 matches the Rfam family "Archaeal large subunit ribosomal RNA", at positions 2542 to 2686 of the family's 2987-position model. Lineage: Eukaryota; Metazoa; Arthropoda; Insecta; Hymenoptera; Bethylidae. The record is from RNAcentral.
UCUCUGCCCAAUGAAUAAUUUUAAUGGCCGCAGUAUUUUGACUGUGCAAAGGUAGCAUAAUCAAUAGUUUUUUAAUUGAAAACUGGUAUGAAAGAGUUGAUAAAAUAUAUACUUUAUUUAUUUAAAAAAUUUAAUUUAAAAUUUUAGUAAAAAUUCUAAAAUUUAUUUAUGGGACGAGAAGACCCUUUAGAAUUUUAUAAUAUUUGAAUUUAAUAGUUUUAUUUAUUAUUUUUUAAGUUUAAAUAUUAUUUUAUUGGGAGGAUAUUUAAAUUUAAUUAACUUUAAAAUUUUAUUUAAACAAUAAUUAUUGAAUUGAAGAUUUUAUUUAAUUAAUUAAUAGAUUAAAUUACCUAAGGGAUAACAGCGUAAUAUUUUUGGAGAGUUCAUAUUGAUAAAAAUGUUUGCGACCUCGAUGUUGAAUUAAAAUAAAAUUUAAAUGUAGGUGUUUAAAGUUUAAGUCUGUUCGACUUUUAAAAUUUUCAUGAUUUGAGUUCAAAUC